UACGUACGAGGCAAGCGUUGUUCGGAGUUACUGGGCGUAAAGGGUGCGUAGGCGGCUUUUUAAGUUUGGUGUGAAAUCUCCCGGCUCAACUGGGAGGGUGCGCCGAAUACUGAGAGGCUAGAGUGUGGGAGAGGAAAGUGGAAUUCCUGGUGUAGCGGUGAAAUGCGUAGAUAUCAGGAGGAACACCGGUGGUGUAAACGGCUUUCUGGACCAUAACUGACGCUGAGGCACGAAAGCGUGGGUAGCAAACAGG
RNAcentral lists this ribosomal RNA (253 nucleotides) under uncultured bacterium. RNAcentral's name for it is "partial 16S ribosomal RNA". It matches the Rfam family "Bacterial small subunit ribosomal RNA", at positions 524 to 776 of the family's 1533-position model. The record is from RNAcentral.